UCCUAUGGGCUCCAUGGGUGCUCCUUGGGUGCCACGGGACCCAUGGGUGCUCCUCAGUGUCCUAUGGGCGCCAUGGGUGCUCCUUGGUGUCCUAUGGGCUCCAUGGGUACUCCUUGGUGUCCUAUGGGCUCCAUGGGUGCUCCUUGGGUGCC
This is a long non-coding RNA of Pezoporus occidentalis (night parrot), 152 nucleotides long. RefSeq lists it as uncharacterized. The record is from RefSeq and is a predicted model, not a curated record. The transcript is spliced from 3 exons. NCBI's taxonomy places the organism in Eukaryota, Metazoa, Chordata, Aves, Psittaciformes, Psittacidae.